GACGAACGCUGGCGGCGUGCUUAACACAUGCAAGUCGAGCGAGGCCCCUCCUUCGGGAGGGUGUCCUAGCGGCGAACGGGUGAGUAACACGUGGGCAACCUGCCCUCAGCUCUGGGAUAACUCCGGGAAACCGGGGCUAAUACCGGAUACGACCUCCACGGGCAUCUGCGGAGGUGGAAAGUUUUUCGGCUGAGGAUGGGCCCGCGGCCUAUCAGCUAGUUGGUGGGGUAGUGGCCCACCAAGGCGACGACGGGUAGCCGGCCUGAGAGGGCGACCGGCCACACUGGGACUGAGACACGGCCCAGACUCCUACGGGAGGCAGCAGUGGGGAAUAUUGCGCAAUGGGCGAAAGCCUGACGCAGCGACGCCGCGUGAGGGACGAAGGCCUUCGGGUUGUAAACCUCUUUCAGCGGGGACGAAGCGAAAGUGACGGUACCUGCAGAAGAAGCACCGGCCAACUACGUG
RNAcentral lists this ribosomal RNA (465 nucleotides) under uncultured bacterium. RNAcentral's name for it is "partial 16S ribosomal RNA". It matches the Rfam family "Bacterial small subunit ribosomal RNA", at positions 28 to 507 of the family's 1533-position model. The record is from RNAcentral.